CGAAGGUGUUGGAGCCACUGAGACGUCAGAGUUUGGAGACAGCGUAGGAGGCACUGUCGAAGUUACUGGAACAUUGCAAGGUGAAGAUUGCUCAGGAGUAUCCAUCCCGAUGGGAGAAGAAGGAAAGCUGGUGCCUAUAGAAGCAGGAUCACAGCCUGUCGUACACCCAUGACUUUCCUCCUCUCUCUCGGUAGACACUCCUAAAGGCUGACUUCUUUGAGAACUUGUUGUUGGGAAACUUUUAUACCAAGCAGCCAUUAGAGGCGUACACUGACGUUGAUUACCAGACGAGAGAGUUGAGAAAGGAAAUGCUUCCUCAUCAAAGAUAACAUGACGACUGAUUUAGACACGUCUAGUUGAUGGAAUGUCGGAUAACAGGCACAACAGAAGACCCUGAGUGCAGUAAAGUUUGGAGCCUGACCUGUCAGAACUUCAUAAGGACUACGGUUGUUAUCCAGAGCUGUAGUAGGUAGAAGAUUAUCAGAAAAUUUGCAGUGAAGAAUGC
This is a non-coding RNA of Camelina sativa (false flax), 505 nucleotides long. The record is from RefSeq and is a predicted model, not a curated record. Lineage: Eukaryota; Viridiplantae; Streptophyta; Magnoliopsida; Brassicales; Brassicaceae.